Molecule: long non-coding RNA, 2200 nt
Organism: Carya illinoinensis
Lineage: Eukaryota; Viridiplantae; Streptophyta; Magnoliopsida; Fagales; Juglandaceae
Exons: 2
Source: RefSeq, a predicted model, not a curated record
GGGGGGAGUGACCCAAAUUGACAUACUUGCGUUUUUUCCGCUAAUUCUUUUUCGAUAGUGAGACUCAGUUCUCUCCAUCGUCUGUUUGCUGUGUGCCUAUCGCAUAUGCAGUCAGUUCAGCUGCUGUGCCCUCUCGACGUCGGUGAGUCUCUCUCAUGUUUCUCUUACUCUCCGAGCUUGUCUUGAUUGAUGUUUCUCUCUUGGUACUUAAGGCUACAUUGGUUUGUUACUCUUGAAAUGGCAAAAAAUGCCGUCAAAGCACUUCAAGUUUUUGAAAUUGUAUAGCCUCCUGAUUGUAAUGCAUAUAAUAUAUACAAUGCAUAAACCCUGAAAUCGUAUGGCCUCCUGAAAUUGUCAAAGCACGUUGGUUGGUUUGUUUCUCUCAGUACUGUCUAUUUUUGGCUUUGCUGUUGUUUUCCAAAUCAAGGCCCCACACUUAUUUAAUUAACUUCUCAGUUUAGGUAUGUCUACCCUAAUUUGUACCCCAAAUUAGGCCAUGCAGAUUUGUAGUGUGAUGCUAUCGAUAUUUCAAUCCCUUUUCUGUUAUCGGGCUAGACAUGGUUUCACUCAGGGCCAAAAAUUAAAUAUGUAGAGUAGAAAUGAACAAACAACUUUUGUUAAGAAGGAAAGAAAGAACCUCGAGUUGAAAAGGGAUUAGCACCACCUACCCAAAAACGUGGAAGAGGAGCCACAAAGAACCUCGAAUUUGGCAAGAUUCGAAAGUAUGGGCCGCGCUGACCAUGAAGGAUGGUGAGACAUCACCAUGUUGUGAAAACUGUACAAUAUUUACAAGUAGGCUUACAUGGUUGGUGAAGCACCAUAUCGACCUGAGUCACCCAAGCUGGCAUGGUUUACAAGAUAAUGAGAAGGAAGAGUUGAUUGCUCGAAUUCGGCUAAUAUAACACAAACUCAUACUAGCACAUGUCCCAAUGUAUUUUGAGUUAUUAUUUGUGUUACCAGAUAAUUAAUGUGUUUGUUGUUUGUCUCUAGGCCAACUUCGUCCUUGACUAGACAAAGAAGAAUCAACACGAUACAGUAACGAAGUCACUUAGGAAGAGGUUCAAUCAUAUUCAUUGUGACCUUCACAAAAUAUACAAGAGUUACGAGAUGAAUGAAGAAGCUUUUGCGAAUGUGCCAGAGUUGGUGACACCAACUACUUGAAUGAAGUUAUGUGCUCGAUGGUUAAGCGCGAAAUUUAGGGUGUGGAGGCUGAUAGGAGCUCAUAAGGUCUGGAUUUACGUCAAACAAAGUACAUUUGUGGUCUCUUAGAACGGACUAAAAUGGCUGGUGCCAAGCCACUUGCAUCGCCUACGGUAGCAAGUACUAAAUUGUCCAGUACAGAAGGAGAACUACUAUCUGAUCCUUCAACUUAUUUCCAAAUCAUUGGGGCACCCCAAUACUGCAUAAUUACAUGUCCGGAUAUUUCUUACGCUGUUAACUAGCUAUGUCAAUAUAUGCACCAGCUAAGAACUCCACACUGGCAAGCUAUGAAGCGAGUUCUUUGCUACUUAAAGGGCACUGUAAACCAUAGUUUGUUCUACAUACCUAUUGUGACUCGGAUUGGACAGACAAUCUAGAUGACAGGAGGUCUACCAUUGGCUAUGGAGUUUUCUUGAAAAGAAACCUGGUUUCUUGGAGCUCCAAGAAACAGAUCGCGGUCUUUCAUUUGAGUACCGAAGCUGAGUACCGUUCAAUGGCACUCACUACAGCUGAGGUCUAUUGGCUUUGAAUGAUUUUCAAAGAAUUAGCUAUUGGUCUAGUCCACAUAUUGACGACUAUAUGGUGCGAUAACAUUAGGGAAAUUGCACUCUUUUCAAAUCCAAUGUUCCAUGCAAGAACGAAGCAUGUAGAGAUUGACUAUCAUUUUAUUCAAGAGAAAGUAUGCAACAAUGAUAUUAAAGUCCAACAUGUCUCAAUAGUGGAUCAAAUAGCAUAUGUCUUCACCAAAGGGCAAACUACACAACGUUUUCAGUAUCUCAAAAGCAAAUUAAUGGUCUGUCAAAACCCCCAUUAAUUCGAGGGGUGUUAGACUACCAGAAUCUUCAUUAGCAUCUUCAGCAGAAAAUCCAGGAGCAUGUGCACCUAUUAUUAACUCCAUACAUUCUGUUACUAAUUCAAAAGAACCUAGCUAGUUAGCUGAACUUUCUCCUACAAAUGUGUACUUGAUUGUUUCCUUAUUUUGCUCAUGUUUGUUUACUUA